Archocentrus centrarchus (flier cichlid) is the source of this 3245-nucleotide long non-coding RNA. RefSeq lists it as uncharacterized. The record is from RefSeq and is a predicted model, not a curated record. The transcript is spliced from 2 exons. NCBI's taxonomy places the organism in Eukaryota, Metazoa, Chordata, Actinopteri, Cichliformes, Cichlidae.
UGCUUACUCUCACCCCGUCUGGCUCCCAGACACACUCGCGUUCACACACACACUCCUGUCUGCACGGCCGAAGGAGGAACGGACUGACGAGAAGAAGACAAAGAGAAAGAGUGGGAGACACAGAGAAGCGACGAGAGACCGGAGAUGGGAUGGAAACUGUGAAGGUCAACUUUACAGUGUGACAUUGAAGAGUAUGAAGAACAUGAGACAGAAGAAAGGAGUAAAAACCAUUGCCUCAGAGGGACAAAUCAGCAGUUCCUGCAACCUGUUGAUCAGGACGGGACGUUCACACAGAGCGGAGUAAAGUCUGCCUCCUGUUCAAAUGUACUGUGUUGUUGGCACUGGAAUAUUGCCCUGUUAUGAGGUCUGCCACUGUGGACCGGUUCCAUUUCAAAGGUCAGAUGAAUAUGGUGCCUUUGAAUGGGAUGGCUUAAUUUCUUGCUGCCUGUCUCGCUUGUUAAUUUAAAGGUUAUGUAUCACCACCCGUCUGAAUGAUUUACAGCAUAAUUGUUUCGCCUCCACCUGUUUCCAUACAACUUUCUGCUUAUACAGUAUGUUUGUCAUCUGUCUGCCCAUGUGUGUCAUCUGUCUGUCGUCAUGUCUAUUAGUCUGUAUGCCUCUCUGUGGGGUGUUUGCUGGCAGCACAGAGUGCUAAGUGAGGUCAUAAAAAGUUAUAGAAAAGCAGCCGAGAGGCGUAAUGGCAGUGUUGAAGUAAGGCCGGAGCCGCUCAAACAUUCCUCUCAUUGUUCAGGGGCCCUGUAAGUCUGCGAGCUCCCAAACCUCCAUGAAAGGAAGGGAAUCCAGUGGCUACUGUAGCUAACCCAGUUUCAGCUGCAUUUCAGAGCUGGCUGUCUCUGUCUUCCUGUUCGCCAUCCUGUCUGGUUUCCCCCUGGGGGGGUGCUGGUAUAGACCAAACCGAGCAGCAGAAGGCAAAAAUGGAGAUGAAGGAUGUUAACAUGAGGUUGACCUAUAGACGAAAGGCAAGAUAAGAAUGAGCUAAUUUAGCCCGACAGUGGUGUCUGUCACUUUGCCCUGUAUGUGACCAGCUGUGACUUUAGAUAACCUACAUCCCAAAUGACAUGGGAAAGAGAAGCCACGGGUCAAAUGUGUUGUUAUUUUGCCUUCUACUCCGAGAAAUCAUUAGGCUGGAAAAAUGAGGUGAUGGAUGGAUGAGAAAGGAUGGAGGAGAGGAGGAGGAGCAGAAUGUGGGGAUCUAACCCUCAAGCCUUGGCUUUGGUGGGGUGUCGGUGGGUGUGCCCGGCAGCAAUCUGUACGAAUGGGCCUAGGCUCAGGAAACCGUGGCGUAGUGGAAUAAAAGUGUGUGUGUGUGUGUGUGUGUGUGUGUGUGUGUGUGUGUGUGUGUGUGUGUGUGUGUGUGUGUGUAGCUUCAGCAUCCACUUGUGCAUGUGUGGUUCAGUGGCAGCACGGCAGCUGUACACUAAGUACAGGGCUGGUGGUGGUAAGGGUGUUUGGCAAUGAAUCAGGCUGCGUAUAGGAUUACACGCAUUGGGCUACAGGGAGUGGACCACGGGCUUGGGCUGGGCUCCUCGCUGCUGAGGCUGGCUUUACAGCCCAAAGAGACUUAGAGCUUUUCUCUUUAAAAAAGAAAAGAAAAGAAAAUCUGGAGCUGGAAAUACUUUUUUAUUCUCAGACUAAUGUCCCACAUGUGGCACGUUCCAUUGAUUCCAGGCCAGCCAAUGAAGAGCCGCCUUUAAUUCAGGAAAACUGCAACAUAGAAGGCCCAUAGUAGAGCCCGAGCUCUUGUUUGAAUGUCACUAAAUGUCACAGCCUCAGCAAUGAUUACACCCUCUCACGUAACAUGAAACAAAUACAAUCACAUGCGCACACAUAUCCAGACAGACUCAGUCUGGUAGCAAGUAAGUUAAGGUGUGGUACUGCGUUAUGUUUUACUUGGCUGGCUUUGCAAUUUAACUGCAGUGUUGUUGAUCCUGUGGUUAAUUUUGGUGGAUACUUCAGAGUUUAGUCAGGUUUAAAAAUACGGUCCUGAUUCUUGAGAAUUUUCCUGAUGUGUGAGCUGCCCGUCCUCUCAUCAUUUGGCCAUUUUUGGGCUUUGGUGAUCCACGGCUACUUUUCUGCAUUGUCUUCCCUCGAGUGCGUUUAAUAGGCGUAACAGAUAUGACAGCAAUUAUGGAAAGCAGAUGUGGCAUCUUUACACUUUAAAAAGAAGGAAAUUAACAUGUUACUGUAAUCUUCUUGCUCCGCUGUUGACGUAACGUCUUGAACUUAAAACAUUCAGCGACAUAGAUGAAGUAGAAGCUGGAAACAACCUACCCCCCCCCAAAAAAAUUUAAAAAAUUCUGUGAUGCAGUGGUAACAUAAAUAUAUGUGCCUCACUGUGACACAUAGUUCUUAAUGAAAUGCACAGUCUGGGAAUCGUGCUGCUUACUGUUUGCUCUGUGAACUGGUUCACAGCCCUGAAGUGCGAAUGAUGUCAGUUUGGUAUUUUUACUAUUCAGCGUUUAUGAGAAAGAAUGAAAACCAGCUUACGCACACCCCAUGUUUGCCACUGACAUGACUGUGUUUGCUUAUUGAUAGUGAACAGUGUGUGUGUGUGUGUGUGUGUGUGUGUGUGUGUGUGUGUGUGUGUGUGUGUGUGUGUGUGUGUGUGUGUGUGUGGAGAGGCAGAUUGGGCCUGGCCUGCGAGCAUGUGUGCAUUUCUUCUGUGCAUGCACACGCAAGGGCACGGGGAGAGAGAAGAUAUGUGUUGAAACAACAAGGGGUUGAGAUCCAGCUGUCUCAACAGAGGCUUUUCCACUUAACUGUGUGCCCUUGUGUAAACGGCAAUGUCAAUUCUGAAUUCAGGCUGACGGUCUGAGAAAAACAGCCAAUGGCCACGUCUGCACUUGGACCACCAUACGUCGUGUGCAUGAGCACAUACACGGCAGAACACACACACAGUGUAAACUACACACCGCAAGACCAUCAAAGAACCCACACACGAGGCUAUAAUCGAUGAAGAUGGUCGGUCGCUGAAAGCACUUUAACUUUACUAGAAUACAUCUGCUGGCAGGCGUCACUCAGUGAUAGUGAUUUUUCCUACCCUACACCUCGGUCAGGGUGCAACAUGUUGCCACAGUUGUGAUCUACCAGUAAGCUGCAGACUACAUGCCACAUACUUGUUAUUUCUAACCAUAACAAACAUCCAGUUUGAGAAGCGAGUAACAGGAGGUCUGCCUGUAUCCUCAAAAAACAAAAAAACAAAAAAAAAAAAAACCCAGGCAGGC